AGAGUUUGAUCCUGGCUCAGGACGAACGCUGGCGGCGUGCUUAACACAUGCAAGUCGAACGAUGAACACUUCGGUGGGGAUUAGUGGCGAACGGGUGAGUAACACGUGGGCAAUCUGCCCUGCACUCUGGGACAAGCCCUGGAAACGGGGUCUAAUACCGGAUACUGAUCCUCGCAGGCAUCUGCGAGGUUCGAAAGCUCCGGCGGUGCAGGAUGAGCCCGCGGCCUAUCAGCUAGUUGGUGAGGUAACGGCUCACCAAGGCGACGACGGGUAGCCGGCCUGAGAGGGCGACCGGCCACACUGGGACUGAGACACGGCCCAGACUCCUACGGGAGGCAGCAGUGGGGAAUAUUGCACAAUGGGCGAAAGCCUGAUGCAGCGACGCCGCGUGAGGGAUGACGGCCUUCGGGUUGUAAACCUCUUUCAGCAGGGAAGAAGCGAAAGUGACGGUACCUGCAGAAGAAGCGCCGGCUAACUACGUGCCAGCAGCCGCGGUAAUACGUAGGGCGCAAGCGUUGUCCGGAAUUAUUGGGCGUAAAGAGCUCGUAGGCGGCUUGUCACGUCGGUUGUGAAAGCCCGGGGCUUAACCCCGGGUCUGCAGUCGAUACGGGCAGGCUAGAGUUCGGUAGGGGAGAUCGGAAUUCCUGGUGUAGCGGUGAAAUGCGCAGAUAUCAGGAGGAACACCGGUGGCGAAGGCGGAUCUCUGGGCCGAUACUGACGCUGAGGAGCGAAAGCGUGGGGAGCGAACAGGAUUAGAUACCCUGGUAGUCCACGCCGUAAACGGUGGGCACUAGGUGUGGGCAACAUUCCACGUUGUCCGUGCCGCAGCUAACGCAUUAAUUGCCCCGCCUGGGGAGUACGGCCGCAAGGCUAAAACUCAAAGGAAUUGACGGGGGCCCGCACAAGCGGCGGAGCAUGUGGCUUAAUUCGACGCAACGCGAAGAACCUUACCAAGGCUUGACAUACACCGGAAAACCCUGGAGACAGCGUCCCCCUUGUGGUCGGUGUACAGGU
Molecule: ribosomal RNA, 1014 nt
Filed under: Streptomyces sp. ITD-45
Lineage: Bacteria; Bacillati; Actinomycetota; Actinomycetes; Kitasatosporales; Streptomycetaceae
Description: bacterial SSU rRNA
Rfam family: Bacterial small subunit ribosomal RNA
Source: RNAcentral